This is a small nuclear RNA of Aotus nancymaae (Ma's night monkey), 132 nucleotides long. Its record names the gene U4. It matches the Rfam family "U4 spliceosomal RNA". From Rfam's summary of the family: U4 small nuclear RNA (U4 snRNA) is a component of the major U2-dependent spliceosome. The structure of U4 snRNA from yeast and human has been reported. U4 snRNA presents a k-turn RNA motif in the 5p-SL related to recognition of Snu13 protein. NCBI's taxonomy places the organism in Eukaryota, Metazoa, Chordata, Mammalia, Primates, Aotidae. The record is from Ensembl.
AGUUUUAUGCCGUGGCAGUAUUGCAGCCAAUGAGGUUUAUCUGAGGCAUGAUUAUUGCUAAUUGAAAAAUGUAGACAAGAUGAAUUUGCAUCAACCAUGUAAUGCUCCAUUCUUUAAAAAGUUGAUAUAGGC